CACUAGCGCGGUGGUCCCACCUGACCCCAUGCCGAACUCAGAAGUGAAACGCCGUAGCGCCGAUGGUAGUGUG
Molecule: ribosomal RNA, 73 nt
Filed under: Klebsiella pneumoniae
Lineage: Bacteria; Pseudomonadati; Pseudomonadota; Gammaproteobacteria; Enterobacterales; Enterobacteriaceae
Also listed under: 2 other names
Source: RNAcentral